RNAcentral lists this non-coding RNA (37 nucleotides) under Trichobilharzia regenti. The record is from RNAcentral. Lineage: Eukaryota; Metazoa; Platyhelminthes; Trematoda; Strigeidida; Schistosomatidae.
AUUCAGCUGACGAGUCCCAAAUAGGACGAUCCUGGAU